GGGUGGGGGGAAUGGGCGGGCUUGGAUAGCUUAAGAGAUGUUUAACAUGCUUUUCGGUAGAGAUGUUAUGUUAAGGAAUCGGGCAUCGUUCAACAAACAAACAAACAAACAGACGUAACAAGAAAGAAACACAAAACUUUUCGCCGAAUUUUACCCAGGGAUAACCAGUAAUAAGAAAAAGAUUCUGGAUUAUGACAACCUGGAGAAACCAAUGGAAAUUCGGCGGUGUUUUCGUGUAUAACGUGUUCGCAGAAGACUCCAAUAGAUGACCAGAGAAAAUUAAUCUUAGGACAUAGCAGGUCACGAUUAAGAUCGCAAUAGAUUUACGGAUCGCGCCUUUCAUUUUCGAAAAAGGAGGGUACCAAUUUUUGCUAUUUUUCCUCAGUCCGUUGACAAACAGCCUGGGACAUUUUCUCUUCUCCCUUGAAUUGAACUUCUCAAACAUCGCAACGACCGAAUUUUCCAAUUUCAAGCGGCACAGGAUCGUAACAAAGUCAUCCUUGCCCUCUAGUCAAUAAACCCCCUGGACUACGCGAGGGAGAUCAGUGCCGUAUAGGAAAGAUAUCCAAAAAAAACAUUGAAAGAAAGGGGACAGCUUGCAGGACCCACAUACAAAGUCCUUUCGCGCGUUUACGCGGGAAAAAGCGGAGGAAGGUGCAUGUCAUCAAAACUUCUUCCAGUCCUCCGCGAACGUUUUGGAACGCCUUGCAGAGGAUGAUCUCCAUUGGGUAUCUCUGUCAUAGUUAGGUUCAGUGCGCUCCACAUUUAAAACAAAACACGAGCCGGCAAACGAAAUCCUCUUUUGUCUUCAGGCAAGAACUCUACUCCAUAAAUCAACUUCUGUCCCAUAUCGGCAGCCACGCCUGAACAGUUCUGGGGCAGCAUACUCUGGGGAGCCGCACUGGGUCCUG
This is a long non-coding RNA of Orbicella faveolata, 911 nucleotides long. NCBI's taxonomy places the organism in Eukaryota, Metazoa, Cnidaria, Anthozoa, Scleractinia, Merulinidae. The record is from RefSeq and is a predicted model, not a curated record.